UCUGGGACAACGGAAUCUGCGUUGAAUCCCAGCGUCGGAAUUUCUUUCCGAAAUUAAAUUUUGCGACCGUCACUAAACGCACCGUUUAUUUCAAAUUAACUAUAAUUUUAUUUCUUAAAGGUACUAAAAUUCACUUGUUUUUCCCUUCUGAACAUUUUUGACACUUCCCUAUAAUUUCCGAACUGUUGAGCAAAAAGAGGGAAAAUUGACGUUUUGUCGCCCUUUUAUACCAUUUCGACGAUGACAGAUUGGGGUUGCCACAGCUCUAACUUCUCGAUGAAACCAGGGUGCUGACAUAGUUGAUCAACGAUGAAGGAAUGUAAUCGAGGAAGCCCUCACAUAUAGCUGGCGUUAAUAUGGUAUCCACGACCAUGCUGCCCCUCCAGAAAUAGUAUUUCUGAUCAAUAUCGAUGAAGUAAAAGUGUGCUCCCUUUGCAUAAUAUAGAUUAAUGGUAAAAGAAAAGACACAGUAGCGGGUUUCAAACUUGAUUUUCAAUGAAAGGUCCAUCAGCUGCUGUUGAAUUUUGUGUGGAUCCGAGUUCUGGUUCCUGAAUUACAGGGUGAUACGUACGACCACGCAGCAAAUCCCGAUUCUAAAGAAUUCUGCGAUGAAUAUCUAGGUCACCAACAGUCAUUCAAUGUCUCUUUGGCCACACUGGCCACCAUCGACGGAUCCGGAAGCAUCCAAAUUCAGAAUAACGAUUAUAUUGGUUUCUCGAAAAUAGCUAGACCAAUUUGAUCAACUUAGUCUCAAAUGAAAGGUGUUGCGUCCCUGGAAACUGAUAUUAAAUUCCAUCUCCAUCCUUCUUCCGGCUCCAGAGUUACGAUACCGUGAUGAAUGCAAAAAGGUGCUCUUAUAUAUACUUAACAAAAUAUGGAAAAUUGGAGAAAAUCACGUCCUAGAAGAAUUGUUUAGCUAUGUUGUAGUGGAAAAAUAAAAAUUUUAAGCACAUGAUUGCAAAAACUGUGUGCUUUUUCAACCGGAAAAGCACACAGUUUUCCGAGCUGGAAAAUUUUGAAUUUUCCUUUUCGGCCAAUUCAUAGUAAAAAGUCGUGAUUUUUUUCCUUUUUUCAUAUUUUGUCAUUUUCUUUGAAAAUAAAAUAAAUAACCGCAAAAAAAUACGAAAAAUGCCGGAUUGCACGACGGGCUUAACAAUUUCAUUAUAAAUAUUUCAGAAAAAGAAUGAUUUUCAUUGACAUUUUGUUUCAAUACAUAUAUACUACUGGAGGUUGAAAGCAUUAUCGAAAAUUGUAAAAGCCUUUCUAUUUCGGAUUUAUUUGAUUAUAUCGUAAAAUUCGAAUUAUGAACGUAUUUUGUAAUGUGAAAUACAAUAAUAAUUUUUCAUCUCUUGAGAUACCGAACUAGAUGUGGAAUAAGUUGUUAUUGGAGGGAGCGGGCAUAGCGUAGUUGGUAAAUCGAUUGCCUCUAUCCCCAUAUGCGGGGUUGGGAUUGCGUACAAGCUCACCUGGGUUUGAAUCCCAACCCCGCAUACAGGGUUAGAGAUUUGUAUUAAGAGUUUUUCUUAAGUGAUUUUUCUAACCCGAAGAGGCGAAUGACCUUGAGGUUAAAACCUCUAUAAUAGAAAUUACAAAAGUUGAUAUUGUAUUGCUGGCUGGUUAAAUAGAAUAGAAUUAAAAAUUAUACCUUUCAACCGAAAUUAAAUUCAUUAAUCCAUUACAAACAAUCUGUAAACAUUAUUUCGUCUAACCUCCGGAGUGUUUCAACAAUUGAAUUCCAUACAUUGCACGUUAUCGGUGAAACAAAACUUCAACCAAAUUUAGUCGUCAUUUUGAAAUAUUUGUAUCGAUGAACUAGUUUUAGGGGUUUCGAGUUUCGAUCAAUUCGCUUCACCCAUCUUUCUAAAAUAAUUUGACAAAAAAAACAGAUUUUUUAACGCUGGAACCCUUCCCCCCUUAAAUUAACAAUGAAAUCAGUUGAAUUUCAGUUGCUCGUGUCUGAAACACUAGUAUAACGGCAUGAUGAACACAACGAAAGCAGGUAAGUAUCAGCAGCCACAUCCUUUCAGAUACCACCAGACCCAGGAAUUUCUGGAGUUCGAAUUCUUCGUAGUUGGUAAGUCUGGGACAACGGAAUCUGCGUUGAAUCCCAGCGUCGGAAUUUCUUUCCGAAAUUAAAUUUUGCGACCGUCACUAAACGCACCGUUUAUUUCAAAUUAACUAUAAUUUUAUUUCUUAAAGGUACUAAAAUUCACUUGUUUUUCCCUUCUGAACAUUUUUGACACUUUCAUACAAUUUCCGAACUGUUGAGCAAAAAGAGGGAAAAUUGACGUUUUGUCGCCCUUUUAUACCAUUUCGACGAUGACAGAUUGGGGUUGCCACAGCUCUAACUUCUCGAUGAAACCAGGGUGCUGACAUAGUUGAUCAACGAUGAAGGAAUGUAAUCGAGGAAGCCCUCACAUAUAGCUGGCGUUAAUAUGGUAUCCACGACCAUGCUGCCCCUCCAGAAAUAGUAUUUCUGAUCAAUAUCGAUGAAGUAAAAGUGUGCUCCCUUUGCAUAAUAUAGAUUAAUGGUAAAAGAAAAGACACAGUAGCGGGCUUCAAACUUGAUUUUAAAUGAAAGGUCCAUCAGCUGCUGUUGAAUUUUGUGUGGAUCCGAGUUCUGGUUCCUGAAUUACAGGGUGAUACGUACGAUCACGCAGCAAAUCCCGAUUCUAAAGAAUUCUGCGAUGAAUAUCUAGGUCACCAACAGUCAUUCAAUGUCUCUUUGGCCACACUGGCCACCAUCGACGGAUCCGGAAGCAUCCAAAUUCAGAAUAACGAUUAUAUUGGUUUCUCGAAAAUAGCUAGACCAAUUUGAUCAACUUAGUCUCAAAUGAAAGGUGUUGCGUCCCCGGAAACUGAUAUUAAAUUCCAUCUCCAUCCUUCUUCCGGCUCCAGAGUUACGGGUUGUGGAGUGCGAUCACAUAGAAAACUCCGAUUCAAACCGAUACCGUGAUGAAUGCAAAAAGGUGCUCUUAUAUCUACUUAACAAAAUAUGGAAAAUUGGAGAAAAUCACGUCCUAGAAGAAUUGUUUAGCUAUGUGUAGUGGAAAAAUAAAAAUUUUAAGCACAUGAUUGCAAAAACUGUGUGCUUUUUCCACAUCGGGUUCUCGGAAUUUUCUGAACCGAUUUGGCAAACUUGAUUUUAAAUGAAAGGUCCAUCAGCUGCUUUUGAAUUUUGUGUGGAUCCGUGUUCUGGUUCCUGAAUUACAGGGUGUACGAUCACGCAGCAAAUCCCGAUUCUAAAGAAUUCUGCGAUGAAUGUAAAAAGGUGAAUUUUUUUCCAAAAUGUAAACACAACUGUUGAAUUUGUAGAUCUAGGUCACCAACAGUCAUUCAAUGUCUCUUUGGCGACACUGGCCACCAUCGACGGAUCCGGAAGCAUCCAAAUUCAGAAUAACGAUUAUAUUGGUUUCUCGAAAAUAGCUAGACCAAUUUGAUCAACUUAGUCUCAAAUGAAAGGUGUUGCGUCCCCGGAAACUGAUAUUAAAUUCCAUCUCCAUCCUACUUCCGGCUCCAGAGUUACGGGUUGUGGAGUGCGAUCACAUAGAAAACUCCGAUUCAAACCGAUACCGCGAUGAAUGCAAAAAGGUGCUCUUAUAUAUACCUACCAAGUGUAAUAAAAAUGAAAGACAUUUCCAUAAUGUUAUAUUGUACGAACCAGCUAUUAAAUCAUAGUUUGUAGAAAUGAGAAAGGCACAAUUGCACCUCUAGGUGGAUUAAAACAGGUUUUUCAGUUCAAUAUUACCGUGGCUGUUUUUUUCUUUUUCAAAAUUUUAGAACUCGAAUAAUGAUGUCAUGUGAUGUAUAAUAAUAAAAUGUAAUAUAUGCAUUUAAAAGCUUUUAAUGAAUAUAAACAACGCACACAUUCUCGUGUUCAUGAUUGAGAAAGGCACAAUUGCACCGCUAGGUGGAUUAAAAUUGGUUUUUCUUUGGUAGUUUUGUAGGAAAUAUCGUAGAAACAGCAGGUUGAAAAUAUCGCUCCACUUUUGCGCAUCUAUACAUACAAAUUUUACUUUAGUUGUGUCUGCGUGGGUGGAAAAAUUGCUUCUAGUAAAAUGGAAAUUUUUCAACGAAAAGCG
Long non-coding RNA from Topomyia yanbarensis, 4082 nucleotides. RefSeq lists it as uncharacterized. The record is from RefSeq and is a predicted model, not a curated record. NCBI's taxonomy places the organism in Eukaryota, Metazoa, Arthropoda, Insecta, Diptera, Culicidae. The transcript is spliced from 3 exons.